Molecule: ribosomal RNA, 363 nt
Filed under: Triticum aestivum (bread wheat)
Lineage: Eukaryota; Viridiplantae; Streptophyta; Magnoliopsida; Poales; Poaceae
Description: partial small subunit ribosomal RNA
Source: RNAcentral
CUAUGCAGGAGGGAGCCUGAAUCUGCGGCACACAUCCUUUUCCAAUGCCGAUACUCACUCAGAGUAUGGGCGGCCGUAAAGACGGGGUUUGAUGUACCAGAAUUAAACUUUGCGGUCUGGGGAGGUUUCCGCACGGUUCAACAUUAGUGGACAACCACUGUCCCUCGCCGCGGUCAUCGGAGAAGGGCAGUCUCUUCGCUCCUCAUGCUCGUUUGUUGGGAGAUCUGGAAUGACAGGAACGCUAGAGCUUUCAGAAGCAAGUCCUCCCUGCCUUCUUUGCUAAUUAACAGCAUCCACCUGGAGACUAAAAAUUGGGUACUUGUGGGGGCAAAACAUUUGGACACACUGGUGCCGCAAGAGUAG